Molecule: ribosomal RNA, 304 nt
Filed under: uncultured Sulfuricurvum sp.
Lineage: Bacteria; Pseudomonadati; Campylobacterota; Epsilonproteobacteria; Campylobacterales; Sulfurimonadaceae
Description: bacterial SSU rRNA
Rfam family: Bacterial small subunit ribosomal RNA
Source: RNAcentral
AAUGAACGCUGGCGGCGUGCUUAACACAUGCAAGUCGAACGGUAACAGAGGAGCUUGCUCCUGCUGACGAGUGGCGCACGGGUGAGUAAUGCAUAGGUAACGUGCCCCUUAGUCUGGGAUAGCCACUGGAAACGGUGAUUAAUACUGGAUACUCCUUCUUUCUUAAUGAGAGUUGGAAAGUUUUUCGCUAAGGGAUCGGCCUAUGUUGUAUCAGGUAGUUGGUGAGGUAAUGGCUCACCAAGCCUAUGACACAUAGCGGGUCUGAGAGGAUGAUCCGCCACACUGGUACUGAGACACGGACCAG